RNAcentral lists this ribosomal RNA (1442 nucleotides) under uncultured organism. RNAcentral's name for it is "16S ribosomal RNA". It matches the Rfam family "Bacterial small subunit ribosomal RNA". The record is from RNAcentral.
UGAACGCUAGCUACAGGCUUAACACAUGCAAGUCGAGGGGCAUCAGGAAGAAAGCUUGCUUUCUUUGCUGGCGACCGGCGCACGGGUGAGUAACACGUAUCCAACCUGCCCUUUACUCGGGGAUAGCCUUUCGAAAGAAAGAUUAAUACCCGAUAGCAUAAUGAUUCCGCAUGGUUUCAUUAUUAAAGGAUUCCGGUAGAGGAUGGGGAUGCGUUCCAUUAGGUUGUUGGUGAGGUAACGGCUCACCAAGCCUUCGAUGGAUAGGGGUUCUGAGAGGAAGGUCCCCCACAUUGGAACUGAGACACGGUCCAAACUCCUACGGGAGGCAGCAGUGAGGAAUAUUGGUCAAUGGGCGCUAGCCUGAACCAGCCAAGUAGCGUGAAGGAUGAAGGCUCUAUGGGUCGUAAACUUCUUUUAUAUAAGAAUAAAGUGCAGUAUGUAUACUGUUUUGUAUGUAUUAUAUGAAUAAGGAUCGGCUAACUCCGUGCCAGCAGCCGCGGUAAUACGGAGGAUCCGAGCGUUAUCCGGAUUUAUUGGGUUUAAAGGGAGCGUAGGUGGACUGGUAAGUCAGUUGUGAAAGUUUGCGGCUCAACCGUAAAAUUGCAGUUGAUACUGUCAGUCUUGAGUACAGUAGAGGUGGGCGGAAUUCGCGGUGUAGCGGUGAAAUGCUUAGAUAUCACGAAGAACUCCGAUUGCGAAGGCAGCUCACUGGACUGCAACUGACACUGAUGCUCGAAAGUGUGGGGUAUCAAACAGGAUUAGAUACCCUGGUAGUCCACACAGUAAACGAGGAAUACUCGCUGUUUGCGAUAUACAGUAAGCGGCCAAGCGAAAGCAUUAAGUAUUCCACCUGGGGAGUACGCCGGCAACGGUGAAACUCAAAGGAAUUGACGGGGGCCCGCACAAGCGGAGGAACAUGUGGUUUAAUUCGAUGAUACGCGAGGAACCUUACCCGGGCUUAAAUUGCAGUGGAAUGAUGUGGAAACAUGUCAGUGAGCAAUCACCGCUGUGAAGGUGCUGCAUGGUUGUCGUCAGCUCGUGCCGUGAGGUGUCGGCUUAAGUGCCAUAACGAGCGCAACCCUUAUCUUUAGUUACUAACAGGUUAUGCUGAGGACUCUAGAGAGACUGCCGUCGUAAGAUGUGAGGAAGGUGGGGAUGACGUCAAAUCAGCACGGCCCUUACGUCCGGGGCUACACACGUGUUACAAUGGGGGGUACAGAAGGCAGCUAGCGGGUGACCGUAUGCUAAUCCCAAAAGCCUCUCUCAGUUCGGAUCGAAGUCUGCAACCCGACUUCGUGAAGCUGGAUUCGCUAGUAAUCGCGCAUCAGCCACGGCGCGGUGAAUACGUUCCCGGGCCUUGUACACACCGCCCGUCAAGCCAUGGGAGCCGGGGGUACCUGAAGUACGUAACCGCAAGGAUCGUCCUAGGGUAAAACUGGUGA